UGACCUUCUUGACCUUUUGGCUAAGAUCAAGUAUGGUUAUCUGUUCUUAUCAAUUUAAGAGCCAAUACAUCCUUUAUCCAUGAAAAUAUAGAUGUUUGCAGCAAGGAGAUGGAAAAAAAAAGCUUGCUCUACUCUUCCAAUGCAUCAAGUUGAUAUUACAGUGCUUCCAAGAAUGGUGCAUCUUAC
Fukomys damarensis (Damara mole-rat) is the source of this 186-nucleotide small nuclear RNA. Its record names the gene U2. It matches the Rfam family "U2 spliceosomal RNA". Rfam says of the family: U2 is a small nuclear RNA (snRNA) component of the spliceosome (involved in pre-mRNA splicing). NCBI's taxonomy places the organism in Eukaryota, Metazoa, Chordata, Mammalia, Rodentia, Bathyergidae. The record is from Ensembl.